This 198-nucleotide unclassified non-coding RNA is filed under the name uncultured cyanobacterium. RNAcentral's name for it is "partial 16S-23S ribosomal RNA intergenic spacer". Lineage: Bacteria; Bacillati; Cyanobacteriota. The record is from RNAcentral.
CGGUUCGAGUCCGCUAACCUCCACUGACGAAUCUUCUGACAACGAGCCAAUGGUGAGAACCGUUGUGUGAUGUGAUUUAGAAUUUAAGUUUGCUGGCAGACCCUAGCUUUUUAUCAUUCCAGGUCUCAAUCAAUUGAGGUUAGGUUGAUAGGACGCUGGGCUCACUGUAAUUCGCAAGAAUUGCAGAGAUGUUCAGCA